This 4354-nucleotide long non-coding RNA is filed under the name Sorghum bicolor (sorghum). RNAcentral describes it as "long non-coding RNA (SBIC_LNC001212)". Lineage: Eukaryota; Viridiplantae; Streptophyta; Magnoliopsida; Poales; Poaceae. The record is from RNAcentral.
UUAGAAUAAACUGUUAAGACUUAAAACUUACUCAUUUUACCUUUCACCAUGGAGCUUGUAACCUUCACUUGUGUCUUGAGCAGUUAAAAGAUAGAACGGUCAAGUCAAGCGCCAUGUUUCUUAUUCUUGAUCAGCUAUAGCUCUGGGGUUUUUGCAGAUUUUCAAAUAAAACUCAGAGAUUCCUUAUAUGACUCUCUCAGAUCUCUCUUUUGUGGUAUUUCUGGAUCCUUACCAAGGCAGUAAUGGUAUAUGCCUUCUCUCAAAGUAUGUGGUAUUUUUGGUAUGAGGCAUAGUGAUAUUGCCUUCUCUCUCACCUUACUCUAAUAAGGUUUUGAUAUCUAGAGCUCAUAGGUGGGAGACAGCUAAUACAUACUUACAAGACAUUUAUUGCAUAGUCAAACCAUGGAUCCAGAGAAACAAAUCAAUAAGCCAAAUCAAGAUGUGCAUGUGUGGCGAAUGAAUGGUGAUAACAAUGGUGAAAACAAUGGUGGUGGUCUAAUUCUACUUUUGCUCUUUUGAGGGGAUACAUACCUUCCUUGCUUUUUGAAACUUUAUGAGGAGAAUGAGAUGCUCUUCUUUUUCUUUCCUCUCAGUUGGGUAUCUUGUACCCCCAAUUCUACUGUCGGACACUUGUCCAUUUUUACCUCUCGUCUCACUUUUUCUUUCUUUCGAGGUUCCGGGCACUUGCCCCUUUUUAUUUCCUCGUUUAUAUAUUAUUUUUAUUUUUUUUCUCUUUUCUCUUUUUUUUUAGAGCACUCAUCUCUUGAGAUAAUAUAGCAAGUGGUAGUAACCAAAAUAUUUGGAGCAUUUAUUUCACAGGGAAUAACAGGGAUAGGAAAAUGUUUUUGACUAUUCUCUCCCGGAUUAGGAGUAGAAUAUUUUUGGGUGAUUCUGGAGAUGGAAAUGGAUGGAUAUAUGUGGAUGGUACUUCCGGAGUAGAAGUAGCAUAUAUGAGUGAACGUGCAUGUGAAUCUUGAUUUAACCACAUGACAAGUUCCUAAGUGUAGCUUCGUGUCAUCCUGAAUGGUUGGUACUUCCGUGGAUGCGCAGCUGCUUUUCAACUGGCCUGGGGGGCUAACGUUGACCUCAGGCUGUGAUGUACCUUGCCCUUUCGUCAUUUGACUAAGUGCUGCUUGCACUUGCCUUUGAAUCUCCGCCUGCAUCCAUUCUUCACGAGUUUUCUCGUGCUCUUUUGACUGCAGAACAAAAGCUUCUAGGCAGCGGAUCCGCUCUGCCUCCUCAUCCUUCUUUCUCUGGCGGCUUCUGUAGGUAUCUUGAUCGGCUUGGAAUGAUUGCAGCCACGGAACUGCCCCAUAGCCUCUCGUACGCCCAACGUGCUCAGGAUUUUCAAGCGCAUAGGUGAGUUCAUCCUUCUCCCUGUUAGGCCUGAACUCACCAGACUGAACCGCCUCUCAUGCAUGGACUAGUCUCUCUGCUGCUCUAGAGAUUUCUUGGCCCCAAACUAGCGCCCCGGUGUCUGGGUCCACGCUUCCCCCAUGACGGUAGAACCAAUGCUUGAAGCGCUCGCUCCAAUGCUUUGUUAUUGUUGUUGACGGUCCUUAAUGCUCACAUUUAACUGUCAACUAAUCAUGGAAAAGGAUCUAAAUGGAACCAACACCUAGACUUAGGGUUUUAUCUGACAGAAUUCCACAAGUUUUGGUGUUUGUCUAUUUCUACAGGGGGUUAUCAGGAAAUAUGAAAGAAAGGCCCACACGUCGGAUUUACAUAGAGAUAUUAACGUGCCGCGCAAUUUUCUACCAUCUAGAAGACUCCAGAAGCCACGGCAACGAACGGGAGGCCGAUCGGGCCCGGGGGCAGGGCGCCCGCCCAAGUCCCUUGGGUGCCCGCCCAGCUACAGUAACCAAUCAGCUUCAACUUCGCGGAUCGUGCUCCACCGACCUAAGGGACCAAGGAAAACCGUGCGAUUAAUGUCGGUUUGAUCCGACGGCCCAGAUUCAUCUGAAAAGACUAUAUAUGCAAGGCCCCCUAGCCCCAGGAGAUCAUACCUCUUCUACAAAAUCAAAGUCAGGGUUUCAAUUCUUCAUCCAAGUAGAGAGGAUCCCUCUAGUUCUUCUAGUUCUACCUCUAGUUCAUCUAGAUCUAGUUCUAGUUCAUCUAGUUCUAGUUCUAGUUCCUCUAGUUCUAGUUCUAGUUGUAAUCUAGAAAAUAGGGAGAGAGAAGAGGAGAGCGGAGGAGGAGCCGGAUGUUGGGUAUUCUUAACAUCAUUACCAAAAGUAGACUAAGUUCUCUAAAUCUAGUAACAGUGCCAAAAAUGCCAAACCUAUCCCUCACACCACUUAAGCCAAGUUGUCAUCCCCAGCAUGAUAUGAGAGACGCGGUAUUGAAAUAUGCAAUUGCUCUUCUAAAUAAAUAAUGAAUGGGAUCUGCAAGCGCAUAGAUUAAUACCGAUGUAGCAUUUUAACCGGGAAGUAUUCCAGGUAUCGUUAUUUAUAUUUUUACCACUGGGAAGGGAUUAGAAAUCAUCACUAAUGAUUACAGAAUAGAAUAUGAGAUUGAGCAUCUAUCAUUGCAUGUAUAAUUGAGAACAUUAUAUCUAACUCUUCAUACAGGGAUAAGUGUCACAUAAAAGAUAUAUGAAAUAAUAAUAGUGACAAGGAUAACUAAUCUGAUCUAGCCACAUAAUAAAUAUGAUAAGCACCUCAAUUAGAUACUCUAGAAAGUCAUUAGCAUGGUAUUAGAACGAACUACAAGAAUAUUCCCUAAGUUAUUCUCAACUAUAUAGUCUAGCAUAUCAUAAUUAGUGCAAGCAUACAUAGCAAUCAUUGCGAGACAAGACUACGCCCAUGCAUAGUGAUAUUAGCAAGGAAUAUGAGAAAAAUAGCAAUCACACCCCUGUAAUAAUGUUGCUCUGCCAGCCUAAUACACGAGAGGGGUAAUAACCCCCUGCAGAAAUAGACAAACACCAAAACUCGUGGAAUUCUGUCAGAUAAAACCCUAAGUCUAGAUCUUGAUUUCAUUUGGAUCCUUUUCUUUAUUUAUUUGAUAAUUAAAUUUGAUACUUAAGGACCGUCAACAAACUCCCCAAGCUUACCUCUCGCUCGUCCCUGAGCAAGGAUGGACUCAGCUAUGGAUCAUAAGUUGUUGCAAUAUCUUUAAAAAUUGACGGUACACAUGAUUUUAAAUAAGAUCUCAUCUCUGAGUUAGAGUAAACUGUCAAGACUUAAAACUUACUUACUUUACCUUCACCAUGGGACUUGUAACCGUCACUUCUGUCUUGAGUAGUUAAAAGAUAGAACAGUCUAGCCAAGUGUCAUGUCUCUUAUUCUUGAUCAGCUAUAGCUCUAGAGUUUUUGCAGAUUUUCAAAUAAAACUCAGAGAUUCCUUGUAUGAUUCUCUCAGGUCUCUCUUUUGUGGUAUUUUUGGAUCCUUACCAAGGCAGUGAUGGUAUAUGCCUUCUCUCAAUAUAUGUGGUAUUUGUGGUAUGAGGCAUAGUGACAUUGCCUUCUCUCUCACCCUACUCUAAUAAGGCUUUAAUAUCUGGAGCUCAUAGGUGGGAGAUAAAGUAUACAUACUUACAAGACAUUUAUUGCAUAGUCAAACCAUGGAUCCAAAGAAACAUAUCAAUAAGCCAAAUCAAGAUGUGCAUGUGUGGCGAAUGAAUGGUGUAUGGUGAUAACGGUGAUAACAAUGGUGGAAACAAUGGUGGUGGAAGUCUAAUUCUACUUUGCUCUUUGAGGGGAUACAUACCUUCCUUGCUUUUGAAACUUUAUGAGGAGAAUGAGAUGCUCUUCUUUUUCUUCUCUCUCAGGUGGGUAUAUUGUACCCCUAAUUCUACUGUCGGACACUUGUCCAUUUUUACCUCUCGUCUCACUCUUUCUUUUCUUUCGAGGUUCUGAGCACUUGCUCCUUUUUAUUUCCUCGUAUCUUUUUUUCUUUCUCUUUUUUUUAGAGCAUUCAUCUCUUGAGAUAAUAUAGCAAGUGGUAGUAACAAGAUAACUUGAGCAUUUAUUUCACAAGGGGAAAACAGAAAUAUUUUUGGUUAUUCUCUCCCGGAUUAGGAGUAGAAUAUUUUUGGUUGGUUCUGGAGAUGGAAUGGGUGGAUAUAUGUGGAUGGUACUUCCGGAGUAGAAGUAGCAUAUAUGAGUGAACGUGCAAGUGAAAUCUUGAUUUAACCACAUGACAAGCUCCUAAGGGUCUACACAGCUUGACUACACUUAAUGCUCAUAAGCAGUAAAUAAUAAAUGUGUGGCUCAAAGUCUAGCAAGCAUGUAUAUAUGGCUGUGGUAGGAAUUUAAACUCUCAUCAUACAGGAACUCAUCAUGCAACAUUUUAAAGAUUUUCAAAGAUAAAAUUCUCCAGAAUUCUAGCAUCUCUAGGAACAGAUAAACAGCAG